Arabidopsis thaliana (thale cress) is the source of this 455-nucleotide RNA transcript. RefSeq lists it as uncharacterized. The transcript is spliced from 2 exons. The record is from RefSeq. Lineage: Eukaryota; Viridiplantae; Streptophyta; Magnoliopsida; Brassicales; Brassicaceae.
GUUCCAUUUGGUAGGCAUUAGAUCAAUUGUUCAACAAGAAGAACAAGACUAGCCUACAUCUGUUGAAGGACAAGUUAGGCGAACGUGAAGUUGGAGAAUUCUUCAAUCUUUGAGUCUUUUAUCAAGGGUAAAAACUUUGCUCUGAGAUUAAUACUUUUCACCAAACGGAAUCAAUUUCGGAAAUUCGUUUGAACAUAUCUACUACUCGAGGUCUAUGCCAAGUUUCAGAAAUUGACUCAUCCGGGGAAGAGUAUUAUUCUCAUAGCAAAUGUUCUUGACCCCUGAUAAAAAAAAAUUCUAAGAUUGAAGAAUACAUUUGUAUGUAAGAUAUACCGUUUGGAGAAAUUGAUGUGUCUUGUUUUGGUUCCGGUCUAACAAAUGAUGAUCGGAUCAUGAACUCAUAGUUAAGCUAGACCCAAAAUCAAGUUUAAUUUUAAUAGCUUUGUAUUAGUUUU